Molecule: non-coding RNA, 3742 nt
Organism: Amborella trichopoda
Lineage: Eukaryota; Viridiplantae; Streptophyta; Magnoliopsida; Amborellales; Amborellaceae
Source: RefSeq, a predicted model, not a curated record
UGUAGAGUUUAGAGAGAGAGAGAGAGAGAGAGAGAGGGGCGUAUAAUUGAUUUUCGUUUGGUGCGCAGACAUGUCUCAGGACUGCAAAUCUUUGCUAUAAAGAGCACGAGACAUGCUCUGCAACCCUGCGUUUAAUUCAUUGCCCCCAGCCAUUAAAGACACUCCCAAGCUUUCUUUUCUUUUUUUCAGCUUUUAUCCCCUUCAUGGUCGAUCAGGUUUCAUUUACAGAGCAGAGAGCCAUCCAUGCUUGCUAGACUCGCUAAUGGAUAAACAAGGACCUGUUCAAUUCAUGCUAUAAAUGAUCCGCGAGGUUUCGAUCAAAGCUCUUGAAAGCUGCAAAUUCAUGCUUUUUAAAAUGGUAAGGAUUCAGUCUGCGAGAUUUUGAUUGGAGCUCUUUGAAACUUGCAAAUUCAUGCUAUGAAUGGUUAGGAUUGAGCUGUUUAUGACUCCAUGACCAUUUCCUCGUGCAAAAUGUGCUUUAAGGAUUUUGAGUGACUAAGGUUCUGAAUCUCUCUGUGAAGCUCUGUAAAACCAGGUUUCAGGCGUUUUGAGGGCUUCUAAGUUCUCUGAUAGAGCUUGUGUAUGAAGAAGCAGCAGUUAGUGAAACUACAGUCUUGAAUUUGUAAAAGAAGUUUGAAGAGGAAGAAGAAGAAGCAAGCAGUUACAGUUCCAUCAAUGGAUCUGGUUUCGUUGGCAAUGAACAGGUAAGAGAGCUUUGAUUUAUUUGGAGAGCACUUUAAUGGAUUUUUGGAGCAAAACCCAUUAUAGAAACACAGUAGAAAAGGAGGGAUUCCAAUUCCAAGAGUGAGCAAAGGAACUUGCAGAAGGAGAAACAUUCAUGGUGGUGCUAAAGGACCAGUUCUCUGAGAAUUGUGAGCAAGAGACAAGCUGUAGUUGCAUAAACAUUGAGAAGGAGGAGUUCACAGGGCUCUGAAUCUAGAGACAUUCAAGUCUAAAUGCUAUAAGGGCCUCUUGUAUAAUGGCAUCAAACCUUGAAAUGGAGGAGCCUAGUAUAGACACUGAUAAGCUCAGCUAUGAAAUCUUCUCCAUCCUCGAGAGCAAGUUCCUCUUUGGCUACGACGAUCAAAAGCUAUGGAUCCCAAAGGACAUCGUCGAGACCAGCCCUGCAAAAACCGAGCAAGAACCAGCAACAGCCAUUAAAAGCCAGAGAGGAAAGGUGUGCGUGCUCAGUAUAGAUGGUUGUGGAAUGAGAGGGAUCAUUCCUGGUAAAGCCCUGGCUUAUCUUGAGCAAGCGAUCAAGAACAAGAGCGGUGACCCAGAUGCUAGAAUCGCCGAUUACUUUGAUGUAGCAGCUGGGUCGAGCAUCGGCGGCCUCUUCACUGCAAUGCUCUUCACUCGAGGGAAGAACAAUCGCCCUCUCUUUCGAGCUGACGAGACAUGGCGAUUCUUAGUGGAGAAAGGGGAGAGAAUGUUUGGGUUUGGAGGUGGGUUUCUCAAGAAGCUUUUCAAAGGGGGCACAGCCUCUGCAACUGCAGGAAUUGAACGGAUUGCGAAGGAGAUGUUCUCAGAGGAGGGUCGAAAUCUAACACUAAAGGAUACUCUCAAACCUGUUCUUGUGCCCUGUUAUGAUCUAUCAAGCUCAGCUCCUUUUCUUUUCUCGAGAGCUGAUGCUUUGGAGACAAGUAGCUUCGAUUUCAAUUUGUGGGAGGUUUGCAGGGCCACCAUGGCUCACCCUGCUCGCUUUGAGCCGAUCAUGAUGAGAUCAGUUGAUGGGCAAACGAGAUGCUUGGCAGUAGAUGGUGGCCUUGCAAUGAACAAUCCGACUGCUGCAGCAAUAACCCAUGUUUUGCAUAAUAAGCAGGAGUUUCCUUUUGUGAGGGGCGUUGAGGAUUUGCUUGUAUUGUCAUUGGGUAGCGGGCAAGAGGAGGGGAGCUAUGAGUAUGAGAGGGUGAGAAAGUGGAGGUUAAAAGAGUGGGCGAAGCCAUUGUUGAGGAUUGUUGGGGAGGGGGUCUCGGAUAUGGUGGAUCACGCGGUUUCCAUGGCGUUUGGACAGAGCAGGAGCAGUAACUAUGUUCGGGUCCAGGCAAAUGGUCUGAAUACGGGCAACUGUGCAGCCAACAUGGAUGAUGAUCCAGGACCCAGCAAUGCGAAGAAAUUGAUUAAAGUUGCAGAUGAUAUGUUGAAGCAGAAGAAUGUGGAGUCUGUUCUCUUUGGGGGCAAGAGAAUUGGGGAGCAAUUAAAUUACGAGAAGCUAGACUGGUUUGCUGGCGAACUGGUCGUGGAGCAUCAGAGGAGGAGCUGCAGAAUAGCUCCCACUGUUGCUUUCAAGCAAGCAACACCUAGGACCUCAUCCUUUGCUACCCCUGCAAGCUCCUAAGAGAUGUUCCCUACAGAUCGGGAAUGCAACUUGGAGCAUUAUUGUGGUAUCAAAAUUGCUAUUGUUAGAAGGCACUGCUUUCUCUUCCAGCGGGUUAGCAGUGGAAUUCAGAACUUGGGGUUAUGGAUCCCCGACGGUGUUGGUUGGUGGUAAUAUUAUGUGUUGCAUAUACAACGUGUUUCAUUGCAUAUUGGCAUAUCACUACCUAAAUGAGGAGGGGUCGUGUUCAUACUUCAAUUUUUACUGAGGCUGAUUAUGUCCAAUACUUGCAGUCAGGGCACACUCAUAAGUGCUUCAACAAAUUACGAAUUGAGGAAAAUGCUUUUAUCAGUCUAUGUAAUUUAUUAAAGGAGAUGACAAACAUUAUAAAUACAAAACAUUUGGCAAGUGAUGAAUAAGUAGCCAUAGUUUUAAGCACCGUCACACACGAUCAGCGGAAUAGGGUGGUCCAGGAACGGUUCCAACAUUGAGGGCAAACCAUAAGUUACUUUUGCCAUAGAGUUUUAAAAGCGAUCUUAAAAUUAGAACCCUUGUUCCUGCAAGCACCAAGCAAUGAAACACCUGCCCACAUUGCUGGUGAUACACUACGCUUUCACCCAUAUUUCAAGGUAUACGAGCGUAAGUAUUCCACAUUGUCGUUCUCACGUCCACUGAGAACUAAUAUAUAAUGGUGAUUGUUUGUCUUAAUAGGAUUGUGUCGGAGUUAUUACUUUCAAUUGAUAUUGUAUCCCAAAAAAUAAUAUUCUACAAAUUAAUAAAAAUAAAAAUAUGUAGGUCUCCAUUUUAACAUUUUACAUUUUGCCUAUUACUUAAAACUAAUCCAAUAUAGAUACUCAUAACUUCUUUAACUUCUUAGGAGGUUAUCAAACAUAGAAACCAGGAACUUCUUAGCUUCUCAAGAGGAUAUCAAACAUAGAAACCAGGAACGUCUUAACUUUCUAGGGAUGUUAUCAGACACAAAAACUAGGAACUUCUUAAGUAACUUCUAAUUUACAGUGAGGAACUUCCAAUUUGUGGUUCAUGAACUUGCUUCCAGUUAUCAAACAGGAAAAGAGAGCUUUUUAUGAAGAGAACCAUUAUGAUGGUGCCAAACAUGAGAAGAGAACUUCCUAUGAAGAGAAACAUUGUGAUGGUGCCUCUUGUAGAUUCUCGAAGAUUAAGAGGUUUGUUUUUUGUAGAGAAGCGGUUCCCAUAUAGAUUUUGGGCCGUUCACUUUUAGUUAGAGAGAAAGUUUCUCGUUGCUCUCGUCUCUAUCUGGUGUUGUUGGUAAUGGUUAUCAGAAGUAACCAGAAGGAAGGGAUGGUGGUUUAAAAGGGUUCGUUUGACUUGGUUUUUUUGUCCAGGUUUGUUUCAAAAUUGUUGCUGUAACUUUCAUUAGUAUAAUAGAUUUCAGUUUGCCGUGCC